Molecule: unclassified non-coding RNA, 128 nt
Filed under: Flavobacterium swingsii
Lineage: Bacteria; Pseudomonadati; Bacteroidota; Flavobacteriia; Flavobacteriales; Flavobacteriaceae
Description: Flavo-1 RNA
Source: RNAcentral
UUUUAGCCCUGAUAGAAGUGGAAAUCCUUUUCUUUUUUUUCUUUAAAAAAAGAAAAGAUUACUUCACUAUACUUUUAUUUUCAUAGGAGUUCAGUGAACUUCGUUUGAAAUGAAUAGCAGGAAAUAGC